This 441-nucleotide ribosomal RNA is filed under the name Stenotrophomonas geniculata. Its description in RNAcentral is "[Pseudomonas] geniculata partial 16S ribosomal RNA". It matches the Rfam family "Bacterial small subunit ribosomal RNA", at positions 29 to 465 of the family's 1533-position model. Lineage: Bacteria; Pseudomonadati; Pseudomonadota; Gammaproteobacteria; Lysobacterales; Lysobacteraceae. The record is from RNAcentral.
AGUGAACGCUGGCGGUAGGCCUAACACAUGCAAGUCGAACGGCAGCACAGAGGAGCUUGCUCCUUGGGUGGCGAGUGGCGGACGGGUGAGGAAUACAUCGGAAUCUACUCUGUCGUGGGGGAUAACGUAGGGAAACUUACGCUAAUACCGCAUACGACCUACGGGUGAAAGCAGGGGAUCUUCGGACCUUGCGCGAUUGAAUGAGCCGAUGUCGGAUUAGCUAGUUGGCGGGGUAAAGGCCCACCAAGGCGACGACCCGUGGCUGGUCUGAGAGGAUGAUCAGCCACACUGGAACUGAGACACGGUCCAGACUCCUACGGGAGGCAGGAGGGGGGGAAUGUUGUAUUUUGGGGGCAAGCAUGAAUCCGUCCCCCCGGGGUGAUGAAGAAGGGCGGGGGUUGUUCACCCUUUUUGUUGGAAAGAAACCAAGCCGCGUCUCGG